RNAcentral lists this ribosomal RNA (253 nucleotides) under uncultured bacterium. Its description in RNAcentral is "partial 16S ribosomal RNA". It matches the Rfam family "Bacterial small subunit ribosomal RNA", at positions 524 to 776 of the family's 1533-position model. The record is from RNAcentral.
UACGAAGGGGGCUAGCGUUGUUCGGAAUUACUGGGCGUAAAGCGCACGUAGGCGGAUAUUUAAGUCAGGGGUGAAAUCCCAGAGCUCAACUCUGGAACUGCCUUUGAUACUGGGUAUCUUGAGUAUGGAAGAGGUAAGUGGAAUUGCGAGUGUAGAGGUGAAAUUCGUAGAUAUUCGCAGGAACACCAGUGGCGAAGGCGACUCGCUGGACAAGUAUUGACGCUGAGGUGCGAAAGCGUGGGGAGCAAACAGG